GACGAACGCUGGCGGCGUGCUUAACACAUGCAAGUCGAGCGAUGAAGCACCUUCGGGUGUGAAUUAGCGGCGAACGGGUGAGGAACACGUGAGAAAUCUGCCUUCAACACUGGGAUAACUCCGGGAAACCGGGGCUAAUACCGGAUAUGAAACCUGCGGGCAUCCGCGGGUUUGGAAAGUUUUUCGGUUGAAGAUGAUCUCGCGGCCUAUCAGCUUGUUGGUGAGGUAAUGGCUCACCAAGGCGACGACGGGUAGCCGGCCUGAGAGGGCGACCGGCCACACUGGGACUGAGACACGGCCCAGACUCCUACGGGAGGCAGCAGUGGGGAAUAUUGGGCAAUGGAGGAAACUCUGACCCAGCGACGCCGCGUGCGGGAUGAAGGCCUUCGGUUGUAACCGCUUCAGCAGGGAAGAAGCGAAAGUGACGGUACCUGCAGAAGAAGCACCGGCGUAACUAUGUG
This 461-nucleotide ribosomal RNA is filed under the name uncultured bacterium. Its description in RNAcentral is "bacterial SSU rRNA". It matches the Rfam family "Bacterial small subunit ribosomal RNA", at positions 28 to 507 of the family's 1533-position model. The record is from RNAcentral.